Molecule: ribosomal RNA, 706 nt
Filed under: uncultured Tomentella
Lineage: Eukaryota; Fungi; Basidiomycota; Agaricomycetes; Thelephorales; Thelephoraceae
Description: eukaryotic LSU rRNA
Rfam family: 5.8S ribosomal RNA (bases 270-424)
Source: RNAcentral
CUUGGUCAUUUAGAGGAAGUAAAAGUCGUAACAAGGUUUCCGUAGGUGAACCUGCGGAAGGAUCAUUACCGAACCGUCGACACGAGUUGUUGCUGGUCCUCAAAUGGGGGCAUGUGCACACUCUGUUUACUCAUCCACUCACACCUGUGCACCCACUGUAGUUCUGUGGCUUGGGGGGCUCUGUCCUCUUUGCUGUGGUUCUAUGUCUUUACACACACACUGUAGUAAAGUUUCAUGGAAUGCAUGACGCGUCUAACGCAAUACAAUACAACUUUCAGCAACGGAUCUCUUGGCUCUCGCAUCGAUGAAGAACGCAGCGAAAUGCGAUAAGUAAUGUGAAUUGCAGAAUUCAGUGAAUCAUCGAAUCUUUGAACGCACCUUGCGCCCUCUGGCUAUUCCAGAGGGCAUGCCUGUUUGAGUAUCAUGAACACCUCAACUCUCAUGGUUUUGCCGUGAUGAGCUUGGACUUUGGGGGUCUUGCUGGCCUGUGGUCAGCUCCUCUCAAACGAAUCAGCUUGCCAGUGUCUGGUGGCAUCACAGGUGUGAUAACUAUCUACGCUUGUGGUUUUCCACCAGGUAACCUUCAGUGAUGGAGGUUCGCUGGAGCUCAUAAAUGUCCCUCCUCAGCGAGGACAGCUUCUUGAAUGUUUGAUCUCAAAUCAGGUAGGGCUACCCGCUGAACUUAAGCAUAUCAAUAAGCGGAGGA